CCCUACGGGGCGCAGCAGGCGCGAAAACUUUACAAUGCAGGAAACCGUGAUAAGGGAACUCCGAGUGUCCGUAAAUGCGGGCUGUCCGUAUGUUUAAAAAGCAUGCGAAGAAAGGGCCGGGCAAGACCGGUGCCAGCCGCCGCGGUAAUACCGGCGGCUCGAGUGGUGGCCACUAUUACUGGGCUUAAAGCGUUCGUAGCUGGGUUGUUAAGUUUCUUGGGAAAUCUACCGGCUUAACCGAUAGGCGUCCAAGGGAUACUGGCAAUCUAGGGACCGGGAGAGGUGAGGGGUACUUCAGAGGUAGGAGUGAAAUCCUGUAAUCC
This 323-nucleotide ribosomal RNA is filed under the name uncultured archaeon. Its description in RNAcentral is "bacterial SSU rRNA". It matches the Rfam family "Archaeal small subunit ribosomal RNA", at positions 321 to 648 of the family's 1478-position model. The record is from RNAcentral.